AGUGAACGCUGGCGGUAGGCCUAACACAUGCAAGUCGAACGGCAGCACAGUAAGAGCUUGCUCUUACGGGUGGCGAGUGGCGGACGGGUGAGGAAUACAUCGGAAUCUACUUUUUCGUGGGGGAUAACGUAGGGAAACUUACGCUAAUACCGCAUACGACCUACGGGUGAAAGCAGGGGAUCUUCGGACCUUGCGCGAUUGAAUGAGCCGAUGUCGGAUUAGCUAGUUGGCGGGGUAAAGGCCCACCAAGGCGACGAUCCGUAGCUGGUCGGAGAGGAUGAUCAGCCACACUGAAACUGGGACACGGUCCAAACUCCUACGGGAGGCAGCAGUGGGGAAUAUUGGACAAUGGGCGCAAGCCUGAUCCAGCCAUACCGCGUGGGUGAAGAAGGCCUUCGGGUUGUAAAGCCCUUUUGUUGGGAAAGAAAAGCAGCAGGUUAAUACCCCGCUGUUCUGACGGUACCCAAAGAAUAAGCACCGGCUAACUUCGU
This 491-nucleotide ribosomal RNA is filed under the name uncultured bacterium. RNAcentral's name for it is "partial 16S ribosomal RNA". It matches the Rfam family "Bacterial small subunit ribosomal RNA", at positions 29 to 506 of the family's 1533-position model. The record is from RNAcentral.